This 386-nucleotide long non-coding RNA is filed under the name Elaeis guineensis (African oil palm). RNAcentral's name for it is "long non-coding RNA (EGUI_LNC035849)". The record is from RNAcentral. Lineage: Eukaryota; Viridiplantae; Streptophyta; Magnoliopsida; Arecales; Arecaceae.
UCAGUACUCUGCUUCAACAGAAAUGGAGCACUCGAAUGGGAUUUUAGCAGAGUUUAGAGAUAGUGCUUAGAGCUUAGAGGAGAACGUAUCUGGGGGGUCUCUUUUAUAGAUGGGAGAGCGUAAUCGAUUGACAGCGACAUCCGUAACUGCCUGGUAGUGGGCCGUUCGGGGCCACAUGGAGUUUGUUACCGAGAGUAGUGGUGUCCGUUGUCGUGACUUGCUGGAGAGUGGUGGGGCCACAUGGAGUUUAUUACAGAGAGUGGAGUGGUGUCUGUUGUCGCGACUUGCCGGGGAGUUCGGGUCGGAUAGUUGAAGCUCGGUUGGGACGUCUGGUGGAGCAGAAUAGCUCUCUGUCUCAGUAAUCUAAGAGAAGCUCGGAUGUUUCC